CCUACGGGAGGCAGCAGUGAGGAAUAUUGGUCAAUGGGCGUGAGCCUGAACCAGCCAAGUCGCGUGAGGGAUGAAGGUACUAUGUAUCGUAAACCUCUUUUAUAAGGGAAUAAAGUGUGGGACGUGUCCCCGGUUGUAUGUACCUUAUGAAUAAGGAUCGGCUAACUCCGUGCCAGCAGCCGCGGUAAUACGGAGGAUCCGAGCGUUAUCCGGAUUUAUUGGGUUUAAAGGGUGCGUAGGCGGCCUUUUAAGUCAGCGGUUAAAGGCUGUGGGUCAACCAUAGACGUGCCGUUGAAACUGGGAGGCUUGAGUAUGUGAGAGGCAGGCGGAAUGCGUGGUGUAGCGGUGAAAUGCAUAGAUAUCACGCAGAACCCCGAUUGCGAAGGCAGCAUGCC
RNAcentral lists this ribosomal RNA (395 nucleotides) under uncultured bacterium. Its description in RNAcentral is "partial 16S ribosomal RNA". It matches the Rfam family "Bacterial small subunit ribosomal RNA", at positions 338 to 730 of the family's 1533-position model. The record is from RNAcentral.